RNAcentral lists this ribosomal RNA (300 nucleotides) under uncultured Halobellus sp. RNAcentral's name for it is "bacterial SSU rRNA". It matches the Rfam family "Bacterial small subunit ribosomal RNA", at positions 495 to 795 of the family's 1533-position model. The record is from RNAcentral. Lineage: Archaea; Methanobacteriati; Methanobacteriota; Halobacteria; Halobacteriales; Haloferacaceae.
GCGAAACGUGGUGCCAGCGGAGGCGGUAAGACGAAGGGUGCAAGCGUUAAUCGGAAGUACUGGGCGGAAAGCGCGCGUAGGGGGUUCAGCAAGUUGGAGGUGAAAUCCCCGGGCUCAACCUGGGAACUGCCUCCAAAACUACUGAGCUAGAGUACGGUAGAGGGUAGUGGAAUGUCCUGUGUAGCGGUGAAAUGCGUAGAUAUAGGAAGGAACACCAGUGGCGAAGGCGACUACCUGGACUGAUACUGACACUGAGGUGCGAAAGCGUGGGGAGCAAACAGGAUUAGAUACCCGGUAGUC